This is a non-coding RNA of Pelobates cultripes (western spadefoot toad), 257 nucleotides long. The record is from the annotation of a GenBank genome assembly. NCBI's taxonomy places the organism in Eukaryota, Metazoa, Chordata, Amphibia, Anura, Pelobatidae.
AAGAAAUUACUCUCCAAUAUGAAUAUGUUAAAGGAUGCAAAAUGAUACCUGCUAUUAACAUAUGUGCAUUUACUGCUGGAUUUGAUAAGUUGUGUUUUUUCUUUUACAGGGAAAGGUUAUGGAAGAUACUCUCCACGGACACAUAUAAUUAGGGUCUUGGAGAGGUAGGAAUUUUCAUUUCGUGGGGCACGUUGUCCAUUGGGACUAAAAUGCUACAUCAUCUUCAUAAUGAAGUGUGGCUUUUUGUUGACAUUUGC